Molecule: ribosomal RNA, 460 nt
Filed under: uncultured bacterium
Lineage: Bacteria
Description: partial 16S ribosomal RNA
Rfam family: Bacterial small subunit ribosomal RNA
Source: RNAcentral
CCUACGGGUGGCUGCAGUGAGGAAUAUUGGUCAAUGGGCGAGAGCCUGAACCAGCCAAGUCGCGUGAAGGAUGAAGGAUCUAUGGUUUGUAAACUUCUUUUAUAUGGGAAUAAAGUGAGGAACGUGUUCCUUUUUGUAUGUACCAUAUGAAUAAGCAUCGGCUAACUCCGUGCCAGCAGCCGCGGUAAUACGGAGGAUGCGAGCGUUAUCCGGAUUUAUUGGGUUUAAAGGGUGCGUAGGUGGUUAAUGAAGUCAGCGGUGAAAGUUUGUGGCUCAACCAUCAAAUUGCCGUGGAAACUGCGUGACUUGAGUAUAUUUGAGGUAGGCGGAAUGCGUGGUGUAGCGGUGAAAUGCAUAGAUAUCACGCAGAACUCCGAUUGCGAAGGCAGCUUACUAAACUAUAACUGACACUGAAGCACGAAAGCGUGGGGAGCAAACAGGAGUAGAUACCCCAGUAGUC